RNAcentral lists this transfer RNA (76 nucleotides) under Methylomirabilis sp. (SeqCode). RNAcentral's name for it is "tRNA-Arg". It matches the Rfam family "tRNA". Rfam says of the family: Transfer RNA (tRNA) molecules are approximately 80 nucleotides in length. Their secondary structure includes four short double-helical elements and three loops (D, anti-codon, and T loops). The record is from RNAcentral. RNAcentral also lists the same sequence under 4 other names. Lineage: Bacteria; Methylomirabilota (SeqCode); Methylomirabilia (SeqCode); Methylomirabilales (SeqCode); Methylomirabilaceae (SeqCode).
GGCCCUAUAGCUCAGGGGACAGAGCGAGAGUUUCCUAAACUCUGCGUCGCAGGUUCGAGUCCUGCUAGGGCCACCA